RNAcentral lists this ribosomal RNA (239 nucleotides) under uncultured bacterium. RNAcentral describes it as "partial 16S ribosomal RNA". It matches the Rfam family "Bacterial small subunit ribosomal RNA", at positions 113 to 353 of the family's 1533-position model. The record is from RNAcentral.
AUGUCUGGGAAACUGCCCGAUGGAGGGGGAUAACUACUGGAAACGGUAGCUAAUACCGCAUAACGUCGCAAGACCAAANAGGGGGACCUUCGGGCCUCUUGCCAUCAGAUGUGCCCAGAUGGGAUUAGCUAGUAGGUGGGGUAACGGCUCACCUAGGCGACGAUCCCUAGCUGGUCUGAGAGGAUGACCAGCCACACUGGAACUGAGACACGGUCCAGACUCCUACGGGAGGCAGCAUG